This 460-nucleotide ribosomal RNA is filed under the name uncultured bacterium. RNAcentral describes it as "partial 16S ribosomal RNA". It matches the Rfam family "Bacterial small subunit ribosomal RNA", at positions 29 to 523 of the family's 1533-position model. The record is from RNAcentral.
AACGAACGCUGGAGGCAUGCCUUAUACAUGCAAGUCGAACGCGAAAGUACCUUCGGGUAUCAGUAGAGUGGCAAACGGGUGAGUAACGCGUGGGAAUAUACCUUAUAGUACGGAAUAGCCUCGGGAAACUGGGAUUAAUACCGUAUACGCCCUUAGGGGGAAAGAUUUAUCGCUAUAAGAUUAGCCCGCGUCAGAUUAGCUAGUUGGUGGGGUAACGGCCUACCAAGGCAACGAUCUGUAGCUGGUCUGAGAGGAUGACCAGCCACAUUGGGACUGAGAUACGGCCCAAACUCCUACGGGAGGCAGCAGUAGGGAAUAUUGGACAAUGGGGGAAACCCUGAUCCAGCAAUGCCUCGUGAGUGAUGAAGGCCUUAGGGUUGUAAAGCUCUUUUAGUGGGGAAGAUAAUGACGGUACCCACAGAAAAGGCACCGGCUAACUCCGUGCCAGCAGCCGCCGUAA